GCAUGUUGAGCAGUGUGAACCUUGAGUUGGGAUUGAUUUGCUGUGACAUGGCCUGGGUGCUAGUUAAAAAAAUCCUGAAAUCAAGGAGCAAAGUAACUGCUGCUCUGGGUGCUAGUUAAAAAUAACUGCAGUUCCAGUAUCAGACACUGCAACAUGGUCUGGUUGCUAGUUAAAACUUUACAUCACAACAAACUGCUGGUCUGGGCGCUAGUUAAAAAUACCUCAAGGUACAGCAUAUUGAAUUAAUAAUUUUAUUAACAAUAUUGUUUUAAAACAUGCUGAACACAGCUUAACACCCAUGCCUGUGUUUUAUAGGACUGUCUGCGGGUGCAGUGUCUGUCACUGUUUUUUCCUUUCCCAACAGUUAGUUUUAAUUCUUCUAACCCAUUUAGUGACCUCUUUGUUUGCGUGCUCAUAGUGUAGCUCUUUCCACAACAACAUUGGGUGUGUGUUUUUACCGUUUGUAGUGGCAUUUUAUUCUCCUUGUUGAGUGUAUUGGUCCUAAAUGUGUGAGUCGAUUCUAUAUGCCCUCUCUGAGAGUUUUCCUAGUUUAAUGAAUACACGUGCCUUG
Epinephelus moara (kelp grouper) is the source of this 571-nucleotide long non-coding RNA. RefSeq lists it as uncharacterized. Lineage: Eukaryota; Metazoa; Chordata; Actinopteri; Perciformes; Serranidae. The transcript has 3 exons. The record is from RefSeq and is a predicted model, not a curated record.